This 293-nucleotide unclassified non-coding RNA is filed under the name uncultured fungus. RNAcentral describes it as "partial contains small subunit ribosomal RNA, internal transcribed spacer 1, and 5.8S ribosomal RNA". The stretch from base 1 to 73 matches the Rfam family "Eukaryotic small subunit ribosomal RNA", at positions 1759 to 1831 of the family's 1831-position model. The record is from RNAcentral. Lineage: Eukaryota; Fungi.
GCAAACUUGGUCAUUUAGAGGAAGUAAAAGUCGUAACAAGGUUUCCGUAGGUGAACCUGCGGAAGGAUCAUCAAUGAAAUUUUAUUGAAUUUUUUUUUCUAUAAAGAAAAGUGUCUAUACAUUUUUCUUUAUAGAAAAAAAAUUCAUUUAUUAUAAACGCCUUCAAUUGUGUGAUCUUAAUCAUUAUUAUUGAAUAAUAAUGAUAGUUUGAUAAAUUUUGUAUAAAAAUUAGAUAAUCUUUAACAACUUUUAACGAUGGAUCUCUUGGCUCUCGCAUCGAUGAAGAACGCAGC